RNAcentral lists this long non-coding RNA (925 nucleotides) under Pan troglodytes (chimpanzee). RNAcentral describes it as "lincRNA". Lineage: Eukaryota; Metazoa; Chordata; Mammalia; Primates; Hominidae. The record is from RNAcentral.
GUUCUUCUUUCUACCUUUCUAAGAUUCCACCAUGUUGCUUGUUUAGUUCAACCAGUGCUGAUAGGGACACGUUUGCACUUGUCUCUCAGUGAACAUUCGCAAGAGAUUUUCUAGGCCUCCAGGCAGAAGCCGCUGCUGACGGGGAGAGUCUGCUGGAGGAAGUCGCAUGGCAGAUGCCAGAGGACCAGCCUGGGAGAGCCUUUCUAGCAACCAGGACACCUGCUGCAGUGCCACGCUUUCUCCAGGAAACAAGGACACCUGCACGGGUGCCCACACGAGAGUCGGCGACCAGCCUCGGCGGUGGGGUUCCUGCAACGCGUGUUCCUGCUGGGGUUCUCCUUUCUGCUGUUCCGAGCUACAGUGCGGAUCACGCUCCCCAUACGUGGAGUCCAGGGACAGCACAGCCCGGGGACUGCCCAACCAGCCAGGAAGUCUGGCUUUCAGAGAACUGGGAAGACCAUCUUCCACUUUAUCCCAUCUGGGAGAAUGUAAACAUGGAUUCCACUGUCUCAGACAGUAAGACGAUUCCCAGUCUUUUCCUGUUCCUCCUCUAGAUGCUGUCUUGGACGCCGUGAAGUCUGCCGAUGGCUGUUUCAGAGCCGUUAGGAUGGUGAAGUGAGACAAUGUGAAUGGAGUGUUUUGUGAGGCUCAGUGCUGCAUAAAUGCUAGCCAUUAUCUAAUAGCAAGAAUUCCUUGAAAUGUUUCUUUCUCUCAAAUUUAUGAAAAGAUUAGAAAAUUGUUCUAAAAAUUAAAAAUGCUUCUGGUCACAGCGGCUUACAUGAUGGCAGUGAAAAUGUGCAGAUUCAUAGGUCCCACUGCGUGCACUUGGCAUGGAGAGAACGAAAUGUGGAGGCCAGCGAUACCAAGAACACCCCUGUGAGCCGCGCUGGGUGCAGCCCCCACGGCCGGCGGGCAGUGACACCGC